This 977-nucleotide ribosomal RNA is filed under the name human gut metagenome. RNAcentral describes it as "bacterial LSU rRNA". It matches the Rfam family "Bacterial large subunit ribosomal RNA", at positions 1950 to 2925 of the family's 2925-position model. The record is from RNAcentral.
CCUAAGGUAGCGAAAUUCCUUGUCAGGUAAGUUCUGACCCGCACGAAAGGCGUAAUGAUUUGGGCACUGUCUCGACAAUGUACCCGGCGAAAUUGUAGUACUAGUGAAGAUGCUAGUUACCUGCGACAAGACAGAAAGACCCCAUGGAGCUUUACUGCAGCUUGAUACUGGGUUUCGGUAAUUUAUGUACAGGAUAGGUGGGAGACUAUGAAGUUAGGGCGUCAGCCUUAAUGGAGUCACCGUUGGGAUACCACCCUUAAGUUACUGGAAUUCUAACUUGUGAUCAUGAACUGGUCAGAGGACAAUGUCAGGCGGGCAGUUUGACUGGGGCGGUCGCCUCCUAAAGAGUAACGGAGGCGCCCAAAGGUUUCCUCAGCGCGGACAGAAAUCGCGCGAAAGAGUGUAAAGGCAGAAGGAAGCUUAACUGAGAGACAGACAUGUCGACCAGAUACGAAAGUAGGGCUUAGUGAUCCGGCGGUAGUGAAUGGAAAUGCCGUCGCUCAACGGACAAAAGUUACCCUGGGGAUAACAGGCUUAUCUCCCCCAAGAGUUCACAUCGACGGGGAGGUUUGGCACCUCGAUGUCGGCUCAUCGCAUCCUGGAGCGGAAGUACGUUCCAAGGGUUGGGCUGUUCGCCCAUUAAAGCGGUACGCGAGCUGGGUUCAGAACGUCGUGAGACAGUUCGGUCCUUAUCUGUCGCAGGCGUAGGAUAUUUGAAGGGAGCUGUCCUUAGUACGAGAGGACCAGGAUGGAGAUACCGAUGGUGUAUCAGUUGUCAUACCAAUGGCAUGGCUGAGUAGCUAAGUAUCGAUGGGAUAAACGCUGAAAGCAUCUAAGUGUGAAGCCCACCCUAAGAUAAGAUAUCCCAUACCGUAAGGUAGUAAGAUUCCACGUAGACUAUGUGGUUGAUAGGUUGGAGGUGUAAGUACAGUAAUGUAUUGAGCUGACCAAUACUAAUAAAUCGAGGGCUUAACCAC